RNAcentral lists this ribosomal RNA (301 nucleotides) under uncultured bacterium. Its description in RNAcentral is "partial 16S ribosomal RNA". It matches the Rfam family "Bacterial small subunit ribosomal RNA", at positions 509 to 807 of the family's 1533-position model. The record is from RNAcentral.
CAGCCGCCGCGGUAAUACGUAGGGUGCGAGCGUUAAUCGGAAUUACUGGGCGUAAAGCGUGCGCAGGCGGUUAUAUAAGACAGAUGUGAAAUCCCCGGGCUCAACCCGGGACCUGCAUUUGUGACUGUAUAGCUAGAGUACGGUAGAGGGGGAUGGAAUUCCGCGUGUAGCAGUGAAACGCGUAGAUAUGCGGAGGAACACCGAUGGCGAAGGCAAUCCCCUGGACCUGUACUGACGCUCAUGCACGAAAGCGUGGGGAGCAAACAGGAUUAGAUACCCGAGUAGUCCCUGUCUCUUAUAC